Molecule: long non-coding RNA, 1368 nt
Organism: Synchiropus splendidus (mandarinfish)
Lineage: Eukaryota; Metazoa; Chordata; Actinopteri; Syngnathiformes; Callionymidae
Exons: 5
Source: RefSeq, a predicted model, not a curated record
GUUAAAUUCGUGAACAGCCUUUGUUGUUUAUUUUAUUUUAUUUUAUUUUUAUGUCAGCACUUUAUUCCAAAACACUUCCUAGUUGGUGGGAUCCCCAUUGACCAUGGCAAUACAUUUGAUUCUGAUUCUGUCCUCUGUUUUCUUCCCCACCUCUGGCUCUCUGAUCUCCUUCCAUCUCUUCCUCCCCCCUCACCUUGUCACUCUGAUGCUCUGCAUCCUUCCCUUUCCAUCCAUGGAUGUAUUUGCUCCAACACAACAGAUCCUCUCUGAGGACCUCAACCUCUCACACUCUCUUCAGCACCAUCAGCAGAGCGACGAAGAAUAACUGGUCAAACACCGCCCUCGUGUGGUUGGACUUAAACACAACCAGUCAAUGAAAUAACCCACUGUUUGUCCAUGACGUCAUGACGCCUCCUCAUUGGCCAAUGGCUGGCCAACUGGCCCCGCCCCCGAGCGCCAGGUGAACUCGUCCGCUGAUGAGCAGCUUGGUGAACAGGUGGAUGAGGUGAACGACAGGUCAAACGUGUGUGAGCUGGAGGCUGCAGGUCACUGACAUGACGCAACAGUGUCUGCAAGAUGCUUCAGGAACAUUGCUGUGACGUGUGUCGAGUCGCUGUGAUGAAGAGUGGAACCCUGUUUUUCUGAUCCAUGACUGUGGUGUGAUUUCACUGCCGUGUGACUGGGUUCCUCGAGGCUCCUCUCAGAGCUGGAUCAGUGAAGCUGGGCGUCUGCUCCUCCUCUCCAGAUGGUCUGGGUCAACAGUCUGGUUGGGAGCAGGUGGUUUAGAUAGAUGCGUUUGAGCUUGUGCAGCUGGAAUAUUUCACCGAAGCAUCUUCACAUGAGGAGACACCUGGCUCCACCUGAGAUGGUCCCCUCAGUGGAGGAGCAGCCCAACUCUCCUAACCAGACCCUGACCUUCAUGUUGUCACGUCAGAAGCAGGACUGAGAGGCCCAGAGUCCAUGUUGCUGGAGGUCCAGUGUGAAGCCACAGUCAGCAGUGGCUGCCUUGUUGUCUGUUCAGGUCGGGUCACAGUGUUUCCUGAAGUCCACUGUCGGCACAAACAUCUACCAGGAAACUGUUCAGCUUCACGGAGUGGCACCUGCCACACUGCUGAAGGUACAGAAGGCUGCUCAUGUGACCUGAGCUCUUGCUCACCUGUGGCUCAUGGAGAACUGAUGGAGGGUUGUCAAGAGGAACAUGAGGCACCAGAUCCUGUUGUUAAGUCAAAGCCACCUGAGCCAAAGAGGCCCAACCAAGAACUGAGAAACUCAGCACAUCUCUCUCAAAUGUUGUUGUUUGAUGGGAAUUUACAAUUCAAUUUUAGGCUUUUAUGAAGUUGAAAUUGCACCUUAUCAACUGAAACAACU